GGGGGUGGUGGGGAAGGACAUCCUCCUGGACUCGGACCGGGAUGUCUACGAGCCCGUGGACCUGGGCUUCGGGGCCUGCCGCCUCUCCC
Molecule: transfer RNA, 89 nt
Filed under: Thermus aquaticus
Lineage: Bacteria; Thermotogati; Deinococcota; Deinococci; Thermales; Thermaceae
Description: tRNA-Arg
Source: RNAcentral